AGUCGAGGGGCAGCAUCAUCAAAGCUUGCUUUGAUGGAUGACGACCGGCGCACGGGUGAGUAACACGUAUCCAACCUGCCGACAACACUGGGAUAGCCUUUCGAAAGAAAGAUUAAUACCGGAUGGCAUAGUUUUCCCGCAUGGGAUAAUUAUUAAAGAAUUUCGGUUGUCGAUGGGGAUGCGUUCCAUUAGGCAGUUGGCGGGGUAACGGCCCACCAAACCGACGAUGGAUAGGGGUUCUGAGAGGAAGGUCCCCCACAUUGGAACUGAGACACGGUCCAAACUCCUACGGGAGGCAGCAGUGAGGAAUAUUGGUCAAUGGACGAGAGUCUGAACCAGCCAAGUAGCGUGAAGGAUGACUGCCCUAUGGGUUGUAAACUUCUUUUAUACGGGAAUAAAGUUAGCCACGUGUGGCUUUUUGUAUGUACCGUAUGAAUAAGGAUCGGCUAACUCCGUGCCAGCAGCCGCGGUAAUACGGAGGAUCCGAGCGUUAUCCGGAUUUAUUGGGUUUAAAGGGAGCGUAGGCGGGUUGUUAAGUCAGUUGUGAAAGUUUGCGGCUCAACCGUAAAAUUGCAGUUGAUACUGGCGACCUUGAGUGCAACAGAGGUAGGCGGAAUUCGUGGUGUAGCGGUGAAAUGCUUAGAUAUCACGAAGAACUCCGAUUGCGAAGGCAGCUUACUGAAUUGUAACUGACGCUGAUGCUCGAAAGUGUGGGUAUCAAACAGGAUUAGAUACCCUGGUAGUCCACACAGUAAACGAUGAAUACUCGCUGUUGGCGAUAUACAGUCAGCGGCCAAGCGAAAGCAUUAAG
This 811-nucleotide ribosomal RNA is filed under the name uncultured bacterium. RNAcentral describes it as "bacterial SSU rRNA". It matches the Rfam family "Bacterial small subunit ribosomal RNA", at positions 60 to 864 of the family's 1533-position model. The record is from RNAcentral.